Molecule: non-coding RNA, 24 nt
Filed under: Arabidopsis thaliana (thale cress)
Lineage: Eukaryota; Viridiplantae; Streptophyta; Magnoliopsida; Brassicales; Brassicaceae
Source: RNAcentral
AAAGACGGCCGCAAAAUUAGGUUU